RNAcentral lists this unclassified non-coding RNA (355 nucleotides) under soil metagenome. RNAcentral's name for it is "partial contains 5.8S ribosomal RNA, internal transcribed spacer 2, and large subunit ribosomal RNA". The stretch from base 1 to 120 matches the Rfam family "5.8S ribosomal RNA", at positions 35 to 154 of the family's 154-position model. The record is from RNAcentral.
GAUGAAGAACGCAGCGAAAUGCGAUAAGUAAUGUGAAUUGCAGAAUUCAGUGAAUCAUCGAAUCUUUGAACGCACAUUGCGCCCGCCAGUAUUCUGGCGGGCAUGCCUGUCCGAGCGUCAUUUCAACCCUCGAACCCCUCCGGGGGGUCGGCGUUGGGGAUCGGCCCUGUCUCUUGGCGGUGGCCGUCUCCGAAAUACAGUGGCGGUCUCGCCGCAGCCUCUCCUGCGCAGUAGUUUGCACACUCGCAUCGGGAGCGCGGCGCGUCCACAGCCGUUAAACACCCAACUUCUGAAAUGUUGACCUCGGAUCAGGUAGGAAUACCCGCUGAACUUAAGCAUAUCAAUAAGCGGAGGA